GGACUGGCCCACCCAUGAGGCUCCGUGAGGUGGUUGCUUCAGGUAGCAGAGAUGAGACAGCUGGGAAGGGUGGCAAAAGGAACACACAACUCACUUUCUCCUGGUACUGUUACUCAGUGUCACCUCCUCAUCCACCACUGCCCUCCCUGUCAGCUUCCAUUACAGUCUUCUUGUUUCUCAGGCGGUGGCUGUAAAGGAAUUGGUGGCGGGUGGAGGUGGGCAAAGGAGAAGGAGGAGACAUUGCCUGUGGGGUUGGAGGUGGGAAUGGCAGCAGUGGAGAGGGGGCGGAGUCAUCAUUGGGGGUGAAAGAGGUCCCCCCCCCCAGAAUUUACUAUUUUGUCUCAGGUGGCAAAAUGUCCUGGGCCAGCCCUGUCCACUGCUCCAUCAUACACUGUUGCUGCCUGACCAGGGUUUGAAUUAGUCUGCCAAGGACAGCGUUCAUGUCAUGACGCUCUUCUGGGACUUUACUAAACUGGCUGGAUGUGUCUUUGGCUGUACAGUUGUCCUCUCUCUACAGGGCCACUCGCUGUCCACAGUUAGAGCAGAAUCUUGUGCAUUCUUUUGCUGAUGUCGAACAUUAAACGCCCCCAAAACCUUUGAAUGCCUUGAAAAUAUUCAUAGAAGGUUCACAAUCAAAAUUUGCAGAGAAUUUGGAGAUGAAAGAUAGGGGAAAAUUAAUUUUAGCAGUGAGAUCACCAACCCCAUGCCACUUUUGUGGAAACUUGACCGUGUUCCGGUCAAUUCUGCUAAUUAGCUGUUUCCCUACAGUUCAUUGGAUAUUUGCAUUGUGAUAUUUAGGGCUGUAAAUGUCCCCCAUGUUUCAGUUCAGAUAAUACCUUUUUCUGCUGCUGUCGGAUCAAGCACUGCCUGGUUUGACUUCUUACUGAUGACCUAGUAUUUCACUUGGGUUCUGAAAUACAUUGUGUUAGUGAUGUUCCUGCCCAGGAGAUAAGCUGAGCUGAACCUAUUAUCUGGGCCAUGCUAUUGUCAAAAGCAAGUCAGGGGCUGGUCUGCUUCUGUUGGGCUCUCAUUUAUGGAUCUCCUUGCCUUGGGGGUUUUAGAGGCAGCGCUCUUGGUUAACCUUUCAGGUUUUGUCUAAUACCUUCCUUUUCUCAAAAAACCCCCUCUGUGCUGUUUAGCCUCCCUUCUGGUGGAAAUUUCUUUGCAAUAGCAUCCGUACCUCUGUCCGUGGAUAUGCUCUUCAAGAAAAGAAAUAUCAAGGAGUUUGGUACACUGUGAAAAGAGGAGGGUUGGCCUGCUGAUGAUGUGUUGAGCUGGAUAGAGGAGGAAGGAAAGAAACAGGCAUGUGAAGGAUGCGAUUUUAUGGUUCCCGGGUGGGCUUCCUAAGGGCCAUCAUCAGAUUUACCCUCCCAGCCUCAAAGAGACAGCUCCAGUGUUCCAGAAUCAGAGCUUCCCUCUCUGAUGACAUUGGCUCCUCAGACACAGGGAAUCGAACCUGGUUCACCAGAUUACGAGUCCACCACUCUUAACCACUACACCACACUGGCUCUCAGUAAUGAUUCUGAAUGCCAGUUCCUGGGAACCACAGGAGGGGAGAGGGCUCUUGUACUCAAAUCCUGCUUGCUUGUUUUUCACAGGCUUCUAUCUGGGCUAACAACAUAUAUUAACUUAUAUGUUAAUAAGUUUAUCUUGUGGUGUCUGUAGGGCCAAACAGCGUAUGUACGUUGGAGAUGUUCCAGAAACUUUCUGUGGGUCUUGUUUCCCUUCCACUGCUUCCCAUGGUAGAGAAAACACACAAAAAAGUUCUUUUGUUUCCAAAACCACCUUGGGGUUCCCACCCACCACACUUAGCUCAAAGAAUACCUUCUGCUCCCAUCAGAUCAAGUACUCUUGCUGGUUUCCCAUAGGCAUCUGACCAGCCACUGUGAGAACAGGAUGCUGGACUAGAUGGGCUAUUGUCUUUAAGGUCUUACUCUGGUUUGACUCCUUUCUGAUGACCUAAUAACACACUUGGGUUCUGAAAUGGGAUGUUCCUUCCCAGGAGAUCAGUUGAGAUGAACAACUGCAGCCUUAGUGUGUCCACUGAGGUUUUUUUUUGGGGGGGGAGCGGGUGGCGCUGUGGUCUAAACCACUGAGCCUCUUGGAUUGCUGCUCAGAAGGUCAACAUUUUGAAUCCCUGUGAUGGGGUGAGCUCCCGUUGCUCGGUCCCAGCUGCCAACCUAGUAGUUUGAAAGCACUCCACUGCAAGUAGAUAAAUAGUUACUGCUGCAGUGAGACGGUAAACGGUGUUUCCGUGCGCUCUGGUUUCCGUCACGGAGUUCCAUUGUGCCAGAAGCGGUUUAGUCCUGCUGGCCACAUGACGCAGAAAGCUGUCUGUGGACAAACUUCCGGCUCCCUCGGCUGGAAAGUGAGAUGAGCGCCGCAACCCCAUAGUCACCUUUGACAGGACUUAACAGUCCAGGGGUCCUUUACCUUUUUACUGAGAUUUUUACAGUGCCAUUGCAGUUCCUUUUAGGGGUGGGGGUUUGUGGGGGCAUAUUGACACCUGGAUCAGUGGUGAAAUAAUACAAUUGUCCUAUUGCUUCCCCACUCAUUAGAUAUUAGUGGAUGUUAUUUAUUUUUUAUUUAUCUAAACCAUUUACAGAGACCACUUCAUAGCAAUGGGUUUUGGUUUAUAUUGAAAGAAAAAAUGCCACAGGUACAAAAGUAUACGACAAACACAAUAUCAACAACUGAUCACACAGUUGGUUAGAGCAUGGUGCUGAUAAUGCCAAGGUUGUAAGUGCAGGGGGUUUGAACUACAUGGUCGUCAGGGUCCCUUCCAACUCUACAAUUAUAUGAUUCUAUGAAAGAAAAAAGGAAAUCCAUGUAUGCAAAUGUACAAUGCAGCACAAUAUCUGUGCAUGCAAAACAAUAAUCACAUCAACGUGAAAUUGCAAACUAUAUGAAGCUCUCCAGAAGGUUCUACCCACACAACCAUUCUUACACGCUCUCGCUUUUAUCAACUUUUCAUCCCCAUAUACAACACAUUUACCAGUUUUCUUUUCUUUUCCUACACAUCCUUUCAUCAAUCCCUUUACACACAACAGCCAGUAAUCAUCAAACCCACCAAUCAAUAAUAGCAGCUGACAACCAAUAAUAACCCAACUAUCCCACAUCACAGCAGCAUCGAUAAAUCCAGUCUACACCUGCUGAGCUAACAGAUACGCUGUUCCAUCUCUCACUGAGGAGCAGGGAAUGUAUUUCUAUACCAGUACAGGCUUUUCUUUUCUUUUCUUUUUGCUGGGGGUGGGUCAGAUAACACAGCUUUCCCUCUGAAAACCUCCAACAACCAAAUCCUAACGCACAUGGUACUCCACCUAAUCCCACAAGACAAUCCGAGCAAUAAAUAUUACACAACAUUGGGGUGAUUGUGCAAGCGUUGCCAUAUUUCAAGAAGUAAAACGUUUUUAAAAACCCAGACAUUUUGCAGAUUUCCCCAAAUCCCCCCCCAACGCUAAUUCCAUCACUGGAAUCCUGGACAUAAGGCAACCCUAGAUUGUCCUUGUGCCCACACGCCAAUCCAGAAGUCCAGGAGGUCCCCCUUUUAUGUCUACAAGCCCAGUCAUUUCAGUGAGUUGGAAACUCCAUUCUCCUCUUCUGUCCCAGUGUCACAGCAGAAGCUGGUCCCAAAUAUCUAUCUCCCAAGAAGACUGUAACUCUGAUUUUAUUUCAUCUUAACUGUUUUUAAUUCUGAAUUUUGCAUAGUUUUAAGCCAUCCUGGGAUCUGCUGGUGAAGGGUGUGUAAUAAUUCGAUAUAACAACAACAACAACAACAGCAGCAACCUGUUAUACAAGUGGGGGGAGCAGUGAUAGCUGGUCUGUCCUCUCACCCUCCAUCCCAUCCUCCUCACUGUUUGAAUUAAGUAAAUGAGGUCAAUUGUCUGUUGCAAAGUUUGCUUUCAAGUGAAAAUGCAGUCUCCUAAAGAAAUACAGUGGUACAUCGGGUUACAGACACUUCAGGUUACAGACGCUUCAGGUUACAGACUCCACUAACCCAGAAAUAGUACCUCGGGUUAAGAACUUUGCUUCAGGAUGAGAACAGAACUCAUACGGUGGUGGCGUGGCGGCAGUGGGAGGCCCCAUUAGCUAAAGUGGUGCUUCAGGUUAAGAACAGUUUCAGGUUAAGAACGGACCUCCAGAACAAAUUAAGUUCUUAACCUGAGGUGCCACUGUAUGCUGAAAACUGAAAUGGACAGAUUUCUCCAUCCCUUCUGGGGGCUGGGAGUAAGCCCCUCCCCUUGCCUUCUCCCCCUUGAACUUUCUCAGGAAAAAAAGAUGAACUUGCCAUUACAAUGUACAGCAGAUAGAACCUCUGAGGUCAAGCUGAGCAAAAUGUAAGAAUAAUUUCCAUGGGCAGUGUGCAUGUGAGUGUGGUGAGGGGGCAUUCCUGGAGUAAAUCUUUGCCUUUAACAGAUACAUUUAACAAGGCUGGUAUAUUUAUAAUGUGCGCAGAGGGGUGCGAGUGGGAUUUUGCCCCCAGGCUGCAAGCCCAGAGCUGAGCAUCCUUGGAGAAUAGUUUUCCCAAGCUGCAUACUGAGUGAGAUGCUCAGCUGGUUCCUCCUAUUACACCUCUGUCAUAAUAGCUCCCUGUUCCUCCCAGUGAUAUGAGGCAUAGCCUGUUGUUUUGACCUUGCCUUGUUGGAAACUGAUUGCCAGUUUAGCUGUCCUUUUCUGCCCAUUUGAGAUGGUAAUGGAAGAAAAAUCAGAACUGACAGUGCAUUUUAAAUCCAAACGCUGACAGAAAUGGGCCUCUCUCUCUCUCUCUCUCUCUCUCUGGAACAAUUCCAGCUCUUGGUUGGAAAAACACAGGGCAGCUGGUUGGUGAAGACAGUGUGGCUUUCUGCAUACCUGUAUAUAAAGGUGCAUCCUUUUUCUUCUCCAGGAUCUGCUAGAGAAAGUCGGGCAUGGAAGAAGAACGCUAGGAUUUUACAAUUGCUAUGAGGAUGAAAGAGGAGUCCCUUUCUCACUAGACGUUUGUCUUCCAUUAUCCAUUCCACUGCACAAUAACCAAGGGGAAGAUGGCUGCCUCUGUCCUCCUUUUCAGC
Podarcis lilfordi (Lilford's wall lizard) is the source of this 5048-nucleotide non-coding RNA. The record is from the annotation of a GenBank genome assembly. NCBI's taxonomy places the organism in Eukaryota, Metazoa, Chordata, Lepidosauria, Squamata, Lacertidae.